Long non-coding RNA from Phragmites australis (common reed), 296 nucleotides. RefSeq lists it as uncharacterized. The record is from RefSeq and is a predicted model, not a curated record. NCBI's taxonomy places the organism in Eukaryota, Viridiplantae, Streptophyta, Magnoliopsida, Poales, Poaceae. The transcript has 3 exons.
UAAUCCCCUUCUCCCUCACCUCCCUGGAUCGAAAUCCCCUGACGUCAUGACGCCAGUGACAUUAUCACUAAUACGUGAGCCUAACCCCACGUGUUAGUGACGGCGAUGUGAAGUCAGGGGAACCCAGUCCCUCCUCCCUCACCUCCAAAUCCCCCUCUUGCUGACUUCCAAAAUCCAACCCAGAUCAAUAGCUGCUGCAACGGGCGAGUUCAUUCCUCUCUUGGUCUGCAAAUCUGAGCCUAUCAUGUGGGCUACCACAGUUUGGUCAGUUCGUUCAGACCUCUAGUCACUUAAGG